Meleagris gallopavo (turkey) is the source of this 1432-nucleotide non-coding RNA. The record is from RefSeq and is a predicted model, not a curated record. Lineage: Eukaryota; Metazoa; Chordata; Aves; Galliformes; Phasianidae.
CUCUAUUUUUUAUUUUAUUUGCUGAUAAAUAAGAAAACAUCCUUAGUUAUACACCUUUACUCAGGUGCUGAUUCAUCUUCUGAUGAAUUAAGUGAAGCCUUACUCGGAUCUUGCCACACCAGGGUGUUGUUCCUGAUACAUUUUGCAUUCAGUUUGAAAGCUAAGUGUUACCGGGCUUCACUUCAGCAGUUCUGAAGCUGUCAGUGCUACUCUAAGAGUAUCUGUUUUCUCUCCUUUUGGAAACAAGAACCAAAGUUGUGCUAAAACAUGAACACAAUCUUUAUUAAACCUGUAAUUCAUAAAAUAGUUCCAAAGAACAAGGUUUUCACACCAAUUCUCGGGGGAGAACAAACGUAAAGAUCAAAUCUGUUUUCUUUACAGCGUUGUUGCACAGUUUUAUGCUAAGUUAUUGUCUAAAAGUUGCCCAGCACUCUUUGAUUUCACUAAUACAAACCAGAGGGCUACUCCUGUCCAGCACUUAAAGCUGCUCAGGGCAUUUCUAGCUGAGAAGGCAUAAAAACAAACUCAAUCUUUGCACAGUACCAUCCUACUAACUUAGCAAAGUACACCUUUGCACUCUGGAGCCACACUCCCAAGGCAAAACCAUAAAGUCAUCUCCGUGUAGGUACGGCUUUUCAGAUGGAUCUCUCGCUUGCUGAGCUCAGUAGCUCGCUGAGAUGGAAAUGAAGAUAUUUUUAGAUCGUAAGAAUUUAAAAGCAAAAGCCCAUUCCUUGGUCUCCGAGCCACAGUUUACUUUCCCUCCUCAGCCCCCGCCCCGGACCCACGCGGCACCCUGUGGGUACUGUAGUUUUGGGCGGAGCGGCGGAGCACGCCUUCCCCAUCCUUAAAAUCCCCCCGAAGAAAUUUUCCAGCAUUAUUGGCUUCCUGAUCAUUGUGACACACAAGGCACACAUUUGGCACUCAAGCAAGAGGCUGGAGGUGGAGGAGAGUAGGACCCAUAGCAAGGUCGCAGUAGCAAGGACCAGCACAAGCCAACUGCGAAACACUGGUAGGUCAACCUAUACCCUGCGUAAUUCAGCUUCUCUUUUUUUCAAUCCAAACUUGAACAAGAUCCAGAAGCUGACAAAGGUUCUCUGAAAAGGCUAGCUGAGAGCUUUCCUUGUGUGUGCUGAGAUCUUUGUGUAUUCGUAGCCCUUACCUCACGCAUACAAAAAUCUUUGUCUAUUCAUCAUGAUGUGCAACAGACUCUAUUUUCAGCCUUCUGAUUAGCGUUAAUUCAGAGCUGGGUUCAAUCUGAAGGGAUUUGGCUCUGUGUUGGCAGGUGCAGGAGCCAAGUAAAGGAUGGCAGAUUCCAGGGGGGGCAGUACAGAGCAGCUCAGCUGUUGAAGUUGGUAAGAGAAGGUCCUAGGUUUUGGCUUCUGCUCCAAGCCAAGGGUAAUAUUUUAUCCUGUUACUGAUUAUGGAAGGGGAA